This 98-nucleotide microRNA precursor is filed under the name Triticum aestivum (bread wheat). Its description in RNAcentral is "MIR9666 microRNA precursor family". It matches the Rfam family "MIR9666 microRNA precursor family". The record is from Rfam by way of RNAcentral. Lineage: Eukaryota; Viridiplantae; Streptophyta; Magnoliopsida; Poales; Poaceae.
UCAUUCGGAUUCGCCAUCAUACGUCCAACCGUGCAUUCGAUAUGCAUAUACAUGCAUCACGAGCCACUGUUGGGCUGUAUGAUGGCGAUACCAAUUGG